UAUUCCUUCAAGUGGUAUUAUUAACACCAAAGUAAGUAUGAAAUAAACAAGGCAGGUGCUUUAAGCAAAUAAGGCUUUCUCCGGUCCAUUUUGGAAGUGGAGGGUGUCGCAGCUGGAGUGGUAAACAAUCAUGGCUCGCUUGCUGGGACUUGGUUGCUUUAGCAGUUAUACAAACAAGGCAGGAUGAUUAUUUUUUUCCCCUCACCACGAUUUACUAACAUGCCACUGAGAUCAGCAGCUAGCAGCCCUGUCUGAGUGUGGUGCUUUUCAGAACACUUUGCAGUAAGUCCGAGGAGCUCUCUGCAAAUAGCCUCUUUAUGACAGAGAACAAGGUGAGUUGCUUCACGCUCUACAAGGCAGACAACGCAUCAAACAAACACGACCGGCACCGAGUCCAACUGGAGUGUACACGUCACUUUGUGUUAUUAGAGCCAUCGUUGUUGCUGGUACAAUAUUACAGCAUGCUAUCAAUUAAAAGUGCUGCAGGGCAUACUGUAUGUGCAUGUACUGUAUGCAGUAGUGAGAAGAAACAAAGUUUAAAAAAAUGCUAUUCUAAGGCACUGCAGGUACUAGCCUCAGAUGAUGACUCAACAUCAAAACAAUGGUAGUUGAGCGAUGUAAAGUCAACAACUACACUCAUUUCACAUGUAGGAAGGUGCCACCGUCGCCCAUCUUAGAGGACCUUAUAGCACGUUUCAAGCAACCCCCCCCCCCCCCUCCCAACAUGAUGAAACUACAUAAGCAUCUCCCAGCUGCACAGCUCAGAGGCUUCUUUCGGCAACUGAACCCGCUGACAGCUUGUGUGCUAAUCUCCAGCGAUUUCUCUCCGAGUCAUUUUCUUUAUUGUCUUUUGAAUGUGAAAGUUGCUGACUGAUCAUUCUGUUGUUCCACUU
Long non-coding RNA from Syngnathoides biaculeatus (alligator pipefish), 893 nucleotides. RefSeq lists it as uncharacterized. The record is from RefSeq and is a predicted model, not a curated record. The transcript is spliced from 3 exons. NCBI's taxonomy places the organism in Eukaryota, Metazoa, Chordata, Actinopteri, Syngnathiformes, Syngnathidae.